AUCUGGCUUUUAUAUUGUUGCAAUCAUACUGUUCUAUAAUAGUGUGCUACCUGCUACAUUUGUAAAAACUGCACUGUGCAGUGCCUUACUGUAAUGUGUAGUGCAUCCUAUAUGUCUAUAUUGACUGGUUAGUUGUAUACUUUCAAUAUUGUGUUCUGCCAACAUACUGCAGUACUGAUUGGAGCAAUGGUGUACUUACUCUGACACUACUGUGUGGUGCUGUAUAUUUAUACUAUAUUGUGGUGCCUUGCAUAUUUAAUAUAUUGUGGUGUUGCUCUACACUUUAUUGUGCCAUUCUGUAUUCUUUUGUUUUAUAAUGUACAGUACCGCAGCCCAAGACAUGCCAGUAUGGCAGAGUAGUACAAUACAUUAUAGUACAUUAUAAAGAAGAGAAGCAUACUCUA
Non-coding RNA from Paramuricea clavata, 404 nucleotides. NCBI's taxonomy places the organism in Eukaryota, Metazoa, Cnidaria, Anthozoa, Malacalcyonacea, Plexauridae. The record is from the annotation of a GenBank genome assembly.